AGUUCGAUCCUGGCUCAGAUUGAACGCUGGCGGGAUGCUUUACAUGCAAGUCGAACGGCAGCACGGACUUCGGUCUGGUGGCGAGUGUUGGCGAGAACGGGUGAGUAAUGUAUCGGAACGUGCCUAAUGUGGGGAUAACACCGCGAAAGCGUAGCCUAAUACCGCAUACGCCCUUCGAAACGGGGACGCUAGACUCGCACUAUUAGAGCGGCCGAUAUCGGAUUAGCUAGUUGGUGGGGUAACGGCUCACCAAGGCGACGAUCCGUAGCUGGUUUGAAGGACGACCAGCCACACUGGGACUGAGACGGCCCAGACUCCUACGGGAGGCGGCAGUGGGGUACACGGACAAUCGACCUGAUUAAGCCAUCCGCGUGUGCAUUGACCUUCGGGUUGUAAGCACUUUUGGCAGGAAAGAAACGGCACAGGAUGUACCCGAUGCAACUGACUUCGGUACCUGCAGAAUAAGCACCGGCUAACUACGUGCCAGCAGCCGCGGUAAUACGUAGGUGCAAGCGUUAAUCGGAAUUACUGGGCGUAGCGUGCGCAGGCGGUUCGGAAGAAAGAUGUGAAAUCCCAGAGCUUAACUUUGGAACUCUUCAUUUUUAACUACCGAGCUAGAGUGUGUCAGAGGUGGAAUUCCGCGUGUAGCAGUACAAUGGCAGAUGUGCGGAGGAACACCGAUGGCGAAGGCAGCCUCCUGGGAUAACGCGACGCUCAUGCACGAAAGCGUGGGGGAGCAGGAUUAGAAUGCCCUGGUAGUCCACGCCCUAAACGAUGUCAACUAGCUGUUGGGGCCUUCGGGCCUUGUUAGCGCAGCUAACGCGCGAAGACCGAGCCCGCCCUCUGGGGAGAGUACGGUCACAAGAUUGAAGCUCAAAGGAAUUGACGGGGACCCGCACGAAGCGGUGGAUGAUGUGGAUUAAUUCGAUGCAACGCGAAAAACCUUACCUACCCUUGACUGUGUCUGGAAUCCCGAAGAGAUUUGGGAGUGCUCGCAAAGAGAGCGGAACACAGGUGCUGCAUGGCUGUCGUCAGCUCGUGUCGUGAGAUGUUGGGUUAAGUCCCGCAACAGGCGCAGCCCUUGUCAUUAGUUGCUACGAAGGGCACUCUAAUGAGACUGCCGGUGACAAACCGGAGGAAGGUGGGGAUGACGUCAGAGUCCUCAUGGCCCUUGGGUAGGGCUUCACACGUCAUACAAUGGUCGGGACAGAGGGUCGCCGACCCGCGAGGGGAGCCAAUCCAGAAACCUGAUCGUAGUCCGGAUCACGGUCUACGCUCGACUGCGUGAAGUCGGAAUCGCUAUUAAUCGCGGAUCAGCAUGUCGCGGUGAAUACGUUCCCGGGUCUUGUACACACCGCCCCGUCACACCAUGGGAGUGGGUUUUACCAGAAGUAGUUAGCCUAACCGUAAGGGCGAUUACCACCGGUAGGAUUCAUGACUGGGGUGAAGUCGUAACAAGGUAG
This 1463-nucleotide ribosomal RNA is filed under the name uncultured Bordetella sp. RNAcentral describes it as "partial 16S-23S ribosomal RNA intergenic spacer". It matches the Rfam family "Bacterial small subunit ribosomal RNA". The record is from RNAcentral. Lineage: Bacteria; Pseudomonadati; Pseudomonadota; Betaproteobacteria; Burkholderiales; Alcaligenaceae.